This 253-nucleotide ribosomal RNA is filed under the name uncultured bacterium. RNAcentral's name for it is "partial 16S ribosomal RNA". It matches the Rfam family "Bacterial small subunit ribosomal RNA", at positions 524 to 776 of the family's 1533-position model. The record is from RNAcentral.
UACGGAGGGUGCAAGCGUUGCUCGGAAUUAUUGGGCGUAAAGGGUAGGUAGGUGGUCUCAUUUGUCUGGGGUGAAAUCCUUGAGCUUAACUCAAGAAGUGCCCUAGAAACGGUGAGACUAGAAUCUUGGAGAGGGUCGUGGAAUUCCCGGUGUAGCGGUGAAAUGCGUAGAGAUCGGGAGGAACACCAGAGGCGAAGGCGGCGACCUGGACAAGUAUUGACACUCAACUACGAAAGCGUGGGGAGCAAACAGG